UGGGGUAUAUUGGACAACGGGCGAAAGCCUGAUCCAGCCAUGCUGCGUGUGUGAAGAAUGUCGUCGGAUUGUAAAGCACUUUAAGUUGGGAGGAAGGGCAGUAAGCGAAUACCUUGCUGUUUUGACGUUACCGACAGAAUAAGCACCGGCUAACUCUGUGCCAGCAGCCGCGGUAAUACAGAGGGUGCAAGCGUUAAUCGGAAUUACUGGGCGUAAAGCGCGCGUAGGUGGUUCGUUAAGUUGAAUGUGAAAGCCCCGGGCUCAACCUGGGAACUGCAUCCAAAACUGGCGAGCUAGAGUAGGGCAGAGGGUGGUGGAAUUUCCUGCGUAGCGGUGAAAUGCGUAGAUAUAGGAAGGAACACCAGUGGCGAAGGCGACCACCUGGGCUCAUACUGACACUGAGGUGCGAAAGCGUGGGGAGCAAGCAGG
Molecule: ribosomal RNA, 429 nt
Filed under: Pseudomonadota bacterium
Lineage: Bacteria; Pseudomonadati; Pseudomonadota
Description: Proteobacteria bacterium partial 16S ribosomal RNA
Rfam family: Bacterial small subunit ribosomal RNA
Source: RNAcentral